AAGCAGUUCAAACAAUGCUAUUGUCAGCAGCUGAGAAGAUCUCUGACUAUUUCAACUAAUUGGUUCUUUCAUUUUAAACAUAGAACUUCCCUGAUGAGCAACCUGGACCAAAUGUUUACUUCUUAAAGGCGAAUCUUUCAACGCUUCUGAAUCCUGCAAUCUUGGAUCAAUGUUUUCAAUCUCUACAGACUUUUUUUUCACUAAGCAGUCUGGAGA
RNAcentral lists this unclassified non-coding RNA (216 nucleotides) under Hevea brasiliensis (rubber tree). The record is from RNAcentral. Lineage: Eukaryota; Viridiplantae; Streptophyta; Magnoliopsida; Malpighiales; Euphorbiaceae.